CCUUAACACAAAUUUAUUCCACUGACAGCCUUAAAAUGUCACCUGUGUAUUUACUAAAAGCAUUUAUUGUUAUACUUUUAAAUCCUAGCUAAUAUACCUGCAGCCACUGGUGCAAGAGGAGCGUGGCUUGCAGAGGAGGCAGUGGGGCCCUGGAGCACAUGGCUGGUGCUGUGUGGCCUCUCUGGGGUCAGGCAGCUCAGCAGCUCACACCCUUUCCUUUUUUCUUGCCCUGUGCUUUUUUUGGGGGUGGCAAUGCUUACAGUGGGCAGGGUCUGGAGCAGUGAACCUUCCUGAGGGAAAAGGCCAACAUUGCAAUGUAUUGGAUUUUUAACCUCUGCUGUUGGAAAGGAGGUUUUGUUCUAAGAAAGAGCUAACAGUCCCAGUAAAGCAUGAGUAAGGCCUGGCCUGUUGUGAGGGUGAGAAGCAGAGCCAAGAGAGGAGCCCACGGAGGCAGACACGGAGCUCCUGCUCCCCGGCUGCUCGGGCAGCAAGGCAGGGGCUGUGCCACCCUGGAGCAAAUGCCAUGGGGUGAGGGGACAGCAGUGCAGGGAGAAGGACACCAGGCCAUGGGGUGAGGGGACAGCAGUGCAGGGAGAAGGACACCAGGCCAUGGGGACAAGGGACAGCAGUGCAGGGAGAAGGACACCAGGCCAUGGGGACAAGGGACAGCAGUGCAGGGAGAAGGACACCAGGCCACCUGCAGAACAGCAAAGGGACAAAGGGACGACAGAGCUGCUGGUCCUUGCUGUGGGGUGUCCCACUUCUUGAAGACUACAGAAGAAUGCCAAAGGAAUUGAAAACAAGCAGCAAAAGCUUUAAAGUGUUCAAAAUAUUCUACCAGCUAUCUCAGAAUUUGCAGGCAGAUGGAAACAGAGCCAAAAGCGAGUCUGAGAAAUACUGACAGAAGAAAUUCUUAAGCAGCUUCUUUCUUCUUUAUAUUCAGAUUGUUAAACAAGGAUAUUUGAACUUUCUGUGCAUGGAAAAACACAGAGGGAAUCUGAUGGAUAUUUCUAUUUUAAUUUGAAAGACUACAGUAUAUCAGGGGAACAUGUGGGAAAGAAAUAUUAUGGAAGUGUGUAAUCUAUUUUAAGCUAACCUACUGUAGUAAGUGAAAAUGAGUGGAAAAAUAAUUGUGGCGGACUCUGAAUCACUUUAACACCAACACUGACUCACGUGUUUUGAAAUUGCAUAUUCUGCCUCAUCCACAUUCUACCUCCUUCCUGUUCUGGGGCUGUACUGAAUGUCUGGGUAAUACCCAUUGAUGCAGAUAAUGGUACUGCCACUUUCACCUUCCAAGCUCUGUUUCUGUGUUGAUCCUUGGCCAAAAUUCCUUCCUUUGGUAUAUUUAAUACAGGAGAUGCCAAAUACUUGCCAUUUUGCCUGUGUUUCAUUUACACUUAUUCCAUUUUGUCUUUGCAGGUAAAUAAUGAUGUGAAUUACCGGGGUUGCAGGGGGAAACUGGUGUUAAUGAAAUGCAAAAUUUAGCCUUCCUUGGCUUUGUUUUGAAUUACUGUUUUUCAUUUUAAUUAGAUUUGCAGCAGACUUCUACUUAAAAUGAAUACUUUUUUCUCUUAUUUUGUGACAAUCUCAGUAAUUACUUUUCUGGAUUUGUACUUUGGAAAGUUCUGUGUUUGGGUUUCUUUCUCUCACUGCCUCCUUCACAGGUUUCUGGAGUGCCUGGCUCCAUCACUGAUAAAUUUCUACCUAGGAUGGGUUUGUAUCUGUCACUUCUGGCUCAUUCAUUUUCUUUCUUGUUGGGAAUAAGGGACACAAAAAGUGAACUUUUUCAGGUGUCUGAGAAGACAGAACUCUGCAGUUUAGUAGAGUUAGCCUUUAAAAACUACGGGGGUGGAGGGGCAGGAGAGAGGGAUUACUGUGGAAAGCCUCACAGAUUAUACAUC
RNAcentral lists this long non-coding RNA (1901 nucleotides) under Cyanistes caeruleus (blue tit). RNAcentral describes it as "lncRNA (ENSCCEG00000019492.1)". Lineage: Eukaryota; Metazoa; Chordata; Aves; Passeriformes; Paridae. The record is from RNAcentral.